RNAcentral lists this long non-coding RNA (2446 nucleotides) under Olea europaea subsp. europaea. The record is from RNAcentral. Lineage: Eukaryota; Viridiplantae; Streptophyta; Magnoliopsida; Lamiales; Oleaceae.
GUAUUACCCACUUUUUUACCACUCAUUCUAUAUAUUUGUAGUUAAACCAAUUAUAAACAACUCCCAAAUAUGCUUUAAGCCUCUAACUGAAGUUUAUUGUUGCAGUUCAAAAUGCGAGAACCACAAAUGUGCAAUGUAGUUUGCCAUAUCACACUUGAUGCCAAACUUGCAAAGGAAUUCAAGGAGAAGAUAGAUGAUGAAUACCGGGUGAACAUGUGAGCUACCAUUUUUAGGAAUGUGAUGUAUUCUAAUAAUAUUGCCUUACAUGACUCAUAUUCUACUUUUUUUGUUUUUAUCAGGAUUUUAGAUAAUCUCCCUCUAGUUGUGCCUUAUAAAAGACCUGACAUAGAUUCCCUAGUGUAUCAAUAUGGUGUGCCUGUUGGUGUAAAAGCACAGUAUGCUGGAGUAAGUAUUAACUUGAUUUGCUUUCGCAGUUGUAAAUCUCCUUUUCUUCAAGGAACUUUUUGACACCUUUUUUUUCUCCUGAAUUUUUUGCUUAGAGUAAGGAAGAAAAGUAUUUUAUCUACAACCAUUUGACAUUCACUGUGAAGUUUCAUAAAGACGAAGAGACUGAUGCUGCAAGAAUUGUGGGAUUUGAAGUCAAACCUUUCAGGUAAUAUUGUGCUGUGUGUUAAAUUUGUGCUUCAGCAGUAAUCUGGUCAUUUUUCUGAUGUUGGAUUUCCUUUGUGCAUCCAGCGCUAAGCAUGAAUAUGAGGGUAAAGGGGAUGGUAAAACACGGUUAAAAACCUGUGAUCCUCAUGCAAAACGAACUAUAACCAGCUCUGAUUCUCCUCAGGAGGUUGAAGAUAAGAAGGAAAUAAUCUUCACGUACGAUGUUGAGUUUAAGGUAAUAUUUUGCGACAGACUGUGGCUAUAAUAACUAUAUGAUGGAAAAAGCUGGCAUUAUGGUCGUAUGUCAUUGUGCUUUUCUCCUUGCCUUGUAGGAGAGCGAAGUCAAGUGGGCAUCCAGAUGGGAUACUUAUCUUUUGAUGACUGAUGAUCAAAUUCAUUGGUUCUCAAUUGUAAAUUCUUUGAUGAUUGUUCUUUUCCUUUCGGGUAUGGUGGCCAUGAUUAUGUUGCGUACCCUCUACCGUGACAUCUCUAAGUACAAUCAAUUAGAGACCCAGGAAGAAGCUCAAGAAGAAACUGGAUGGAAAUUAGUUCAUGGAGAUGUUUUCAGGCCUCCAACAAACUCUGAUCUACUCUGUGUUUAUGUUGGAACUGGCGUUCAGUUUUUUGGGAUGAUACUAGUUACCAUGAUCUUUGCUGCACUUGGAUUCUUAUCCCCAUCUAACCGAGGAGGGUUGAUGACAGCUAUGCUUCUUCUCUGGGCAUUCAUGGGCCUGCUUGCUGGAUAUGCCUCAUCUCGUCUUUACAAGAUGUUCAAAGGAACAGAGUGGAAGAAAAUUACUCUUCAAACCGCUUUCACCUUCCCUGGAAUUAUCUUUGCCAUUUUCUUUGUAUUGAAUGCUCUGAUUUGGGGCGAGAAAUCCUCAGGCGCUGUGCCAUUUGGAACCAUGUUUGCAUUAGUGUUCUUGUGGUUUGGUAUUUCGGUUCCUCUUGUCUUUGUUGGUAGUUAUGUAGGGUUUAGGAAGCCAGCUAUUGACAAUCCAGUGAAAACCAACAAGAUUCCAAGGCAAAUUCCUGAGCAGGCCUGGUACAUGAACCCAAUUUUCUCUAUCCUAAUUGGAGGCAUACUCCCAUUUGGCGCAGUAUUUAUUGAGCUGUUCUUCAUUUUAACAUCAAUCUGGUUGCAUCAGUUCUAUUACAUUUUCGGGUUCCUCUUCCUUGUGUUCGUAAUACUAAUCAUAACAUGUGCUGAGAUCACAAUCGUGCUCUGCUAUUUCCAGCUGUGCAGUGAGGAUUAUCUCUGGUGGUGGAGAUCAUAUCUGACAUCAGGGUCAUCAGCACUCUACCUCUUACUUUAUGCAGCUUUUUACUUCUUCACAAAGCUCGACAUCACAAAACCAGUAUCUGGUGUUCUCUACUUUGGGUACAUGCUGAUUGCUUCAUAUGCUUUCUUCGUGCUGACUGGUACAAUUGGUUUCUAUGCAUGUUUCUCGUUUACAAGGCUCAUCUACUCCUCGGUGAAGAUUGACUAAGUGAUGGGACGUUGAAGUAAGUGUUUAUAGUCCCUCAAGAAAGCUUAUUAAACUCCUGGGGCCUUUUUUCAAAAGUUAUGCUCGGUGUAACCUUUGAACUCCCUAAAGGUAGAAGUUAUCUUGCUCAUCUCCUUUGCAUUUAUAAUUUUGGUUUUGUAUGGAGACUUUACUUGUUUUUGAACUGUCCCAUUUUAGUUAUAACGAGAAUACUUAUUGUAAUGAUACUUUUGUUGAUGAAAUAUGUGUAAGGUACUUCUUUCCUAUUUGUCACAGCUAAAAUUGUUGUGAAACUGCUGAAUUUUGUAUUCUUCCAUCAAAUAGAUGCAGUCUCAUCUUCGUUGCAG